ACCAGCAGCCAUUAUCACCCUGCUACUCACAGCUGGCAGCCCAAUGAAGCUCAGCAGGUGUGAGCCUGGCCAGUACCUGGAUGGGAGACCUCCUGGGAAAAACUAAGGUAGCUGCUGGAA
This 120-nucleotide ribosomal RNA is filed under the name Lepisosteus oculatus (spotted gar). Lineage: Eukaryota; Metazoa; Chordata; Actinopteri; Semionotiformes; Lepisosteidae. The record is from RNAcentral.